RNAcentral lists this long non-coding RNA (647 nucleotides) under Elaeis guineensis (African oil palm). RNAcentral's name for it is "long non-coding RNA (EGUI_LNC024580)". Lineage: Eukaryota; Viridiplantae; Streptophyta; Magnoliopsida; Arecales; Arecaceae. The record is from RNAcentral.
UACAGCAUUUUGAAUUGCUAGCGCUUCCGCUUCAACUACUUUCUCGACCAAAAUGAAUUGCUGGCAUUUACAAAUCGAUAAGUUUUAGGGUUAUAAGAAACACUACAUGAUACAUGCAGUAACAUAUAUUUCUAUCAUAGCAAAAAGUAAUAGUAUAUAAGACUUGUUGGGACAAGUCAACCAAUUUCCGACUUCAACUCUACAUCGAUCACAUGAACACAUUAUGCCGACUCACAAUCGGUGAACCGAUCUACAGUCAGCUACUAUCAACCAUCAACUAACAAUUUGGUUAACUCCCGAUCGAAGACCAUCGGCAUAUCAGAGUUACCAGCCGUUACUCAUUCAGAUCUGCUACCGACUUAUCAGUAUUAUCGACAUAUAGUCGGCCUAUCUGCUUAACAUACCCUAACUGCUAUGAACGGUUAUCGACUACGUGUUACGACUAUUAAUGAGAAUAAACAGCCCACUAACUCAACGAUUAUAGUUCGAUAAUUUAGCGCCAUAAAAAGUGGGACCACGUGUUCGAUGAUUAUAUCAGAUCAUCUAUAAAAGGAGAGGUAAACGAGUAGCACAGAUAAGACAAUUCUGGGCUAACACUCUGCCACUCUCAACAUUCUUAUUAGCUGUUCACCAACCCCCUCUCUGGC